UGCGGGCCGAGACGCAGCCGUCUCUACCCAGCUCCAGCAGCAGCCGCCGCCGCCCUCCCCGGGGCCGCCGCUACUUCCUGCUUCUCUACGGUUCGGCCUCCCUCCUCCCUCCUCCCUGCGCUCCCUCCGCGCCCCUGGCCUGAGCUGCCCGCUUCCAUACUCGCCAUUGGUCAGUUCCCCCGUCGUUCAGGUAUGCGCCCCGCCCCACCUCGCGCUGGGUUGGUCUUAAGUACUGUCGCUCGGAACUAGCCCCGUGGAUUCCGCUCAUCCUCAUUGGGCGAGGAGCCUAGGCCCCCUGAAGAAGCCUCUCCCCAUUGGCCGCUCCGAAGUCCACAUGCCCCGUCUGCGCCUCUCAAGAGCGAUUGGCCGCCGCUACUGUCGCUCUUCGAAAGAAGCCAGCCUGAUUCCCCCUUCUCGGGCCGCAGGGUAACUCUCCCAGGUGUGACUCCGCCCCCUCCGCCCUAUUGGCUGCCCGAGGCUGCAGGCUGCAGUUCACUUAGGCAAAUUUAAAGAACUCUGAGCUUCGGUGCGGUGGGUGCUUGGAGGAGAACCGCGCCGACUGCGAGGGAACAUAGAACUCUGGAUCUGGCCGCGCUGUUUUCUCGGAGACCGAGCCCCACGUCAGCGUGGCCGCACAGAUGUCGCAGCGUGGGCCGACGCUCCAGGCAUGACGUCAUCUGCUGACCACUGCCCACCGCCUCUGACGUGUGGCCGGGCGUCACCUGCGGCUCCUCCCUCUGUGGGGAGCUCGGACUGGUACAGGAUUUGGGACAUGGACGGGCCUGGGGCCCGGGGCUGGGCCUGGCUUGCGGACCGGAAGUGGGGCAGAGGUGACUCCGGGAGAGCCGGCGGGGCUGGGCAGCCGGGCCCGACCGCAGGUGUCAGGUAUUUCAGUAAGACAGUGGUGCACCCCUGUAAACUCAGCACUGGGAAUGCAAAGGCAGGAGGAUCGAAGGUUGGAGGCCACAGACCGGAAGGCUGAAGACGGAAGCCGCCGAGGAGAGCAGGAAAAUAGAAGCACCCUGGGAACCUGUUCCCCCAAUUCCCGGGGGCGAAACAGCAGCCAGGCUUGAGAGAGAAGCGAACUUCCCCAUCUCAUUUCGGGCUUGUUUCCCGCGGCCGUCACCCACCCGCGAGCGACUGCAGGUGGCGCACAGAUGGCAGGGAGUGAGACGAAGCGCACAGCGAGAGCCAAGGCAGCCCGAGCUGGGGAGGAGCAGGGCACCCGGGGGUGACGGGGUGCAGUCACG
This 1250-nucleotide long non-coding RNA is filed under the name Heterocephalus glaber (naked mole-rat). Its description in RNAcentral is "lncRNA (ENSHGLG00100047105.1)". The record is from RNAcentral. Lineage: Eukaryota; Metazoa; Chordata; Mammalia; Rodentia; Bathyergidae.